GAAAACAAAAAAUCAUGGCGGUAUCUUAAGCUUUUCAGAGGAAUUUGCUCUUUAAUGGAUAAAACACCCAAAUCUUACUAAAAUUGGUUAAGACAGUUUGUAUACCACUAUUUAAGUAAUUAUUAAUUAUAAUUGCUGUAAAUUUUAAACAAAAAAAAAGUUAAGUCAAGGUGCAGCAUAAAUUUUAGGAUGAAGUGAAUUACAAUGCUUUUUAGAAAAGCGAUUAAAAAAAAUUAGGAUUUGAAAGUAAAAAUUUUAAUAGAAUGAUUAUUUGAAUUAAGCUCUGAGAUAUGUA
Molecule: ribosomal RNA, 295 nt
Filed under: Amblyomma sculptum
Lineage: Eukaryota; Metazoa; Arthropoda; Arachnida; Ixodida; Ixodidae
Description: partial small subunit ribosomal RNA
Source: RNAcentral